Molecule: ribosomal RNA, 321 nt
Filed under: uncultured eukaryote
Lineage: Eukaryota
Description: partial 18S ribosomal RNA
Rfam family: Eukaryotic small subunit ribosomal RNA
Source: RNAcentral
CCCUUAGAUGUCCUGGGCCGCACGCGCGCUACACUGACAUGUUCAACAAGCCUCCUAGUUCGACAGGAUUUGGGAAAUCUUUGAACGCAUGUCGUGAUAGGGAUAGAUCAUUGCAAUUAUUGAUCUUGAACGAGGAAUUCCUAGUAAACGCGAGUCAUCAGCUCGCAUUGAUUACGUCCCUGCCCUUUGUACACACCGCCCGUCGCACCUACCGAUUGAAUGUUUCUGUGAAGAUUCCGGAUAGGACUUUUUUGAUUUAUUUCAAUUUUGUCUUAAAAGCUAUCUAAACCUCAACAUUUAGAGGAAGGUGAAGUCGUAACA